Molecule: long non-coding RNA, 303 nt
Filed under: Salvia miltiorrhiza (redroot sage)
Lineage: Eukaryota; Viridiplantae; Streptophyta; Magnoliopsida; Lamiales; Lamiaceae
Description: long non-coding RNA (SMIL_LNC008071)
Source: RNAcentral
CCUGGUAAGUGGUAACAAGUACUCAAUAUGGUACCUCCCAUAACAGAUCUUCUACUAUAAAUUUAUUCAUGUGAGUCUCUGGUAAAUAUGUUCACAAUCUGCACAGAAAGGAUUCGGUGAAUACAAGGCCCAGGCCAAAGUUAGUGACCUGGGCAAGGCAAAAAGAUAAAAUCUAAAUCAAAACUUACAUAAACAACUAAUGCUAGUUUACAGCAAAUUUGACGCUAAAGAAAUAUGUUACUAUUCCCAAACUUUGAGAAGUAAGAAGUAUUUAUGAACUCUUCUUUUAUUAACAAAGCAACA